This 474-nucleotide ribosomal RNA is filed under the name uncultured bacterium. RNAcentral's name for it is "bacterial SSU rRNA". It matches the Rfam family "Bacterial small subunit ribosomal RNA", at positions 15 to 518 of the family's 1533-position model. The record is from RNAcentral.
GAUCCUGGCUUAGGAUGAAUGCUGGCGGCAUGCCUAAUACAUGCAAGUCGAGCGGUAACAGGACUAGCUUGCUAGUGCUGACGAGCGGCGGACGGCUGAGUAACGCAUGGGAACGCACCCAAACUGAGGGAUAACUAGUCGAAAGAUUAGCUAAUACCGCAUGUGAUCUUCGGAUUAAAGCCUUCGGGCGGUUUGGGAGCGGCCUGUGUACGAUUAGAUAGUUGGUGAGGUAAUGGCUCACCAAGUCGACGAUCGUUAGAUGGUUUGAGAGGAUGAUCAUCCAGACUGGAACUGAGACACGGUCCAGACUCCUACGGGAGGCAGCAGUAGGGAAUCUUUCACAAUGGGCGAAAGCCUGAUUGGAGCAAUGCCGCGUGCAGGACGAAGGCCUUCGGGUUGUAAACUGCUUUUAUAAGCGAGGAAUAUGACGGUAACUUAUGAAUAAGGAUCGGCUAACUACGUGCCAGCCGCCGC